GUUUUGGUCCUAAACUUGCCCUUGUUUUUUACCAAAAUUAUACAUGCAAGCCUCCACACACCAGUGAGAAUGCCCACACACCCCUAAACAGCGAACCGGAGCAGGCAUCAGGAAACAACACCACAAUUUUAGCCAAAAACGCCUUGCACAUGCCACACCCACACGGGCUUACAGCAGUAAUUAACAUUAAGACAUGAGCGAAAGCUCGACUUAGUUAUGGUAUACAUGGUCGGUAAAUUUCGUGCCAGCCACCGCGGUUAUACGAAAGACCAAAAACAACGGCCCACGGCGUAAAGCGUGACUAGAGAACUAAAACAACUUAGAGGAAAACGGCCGCCAAGUAGUAAAACGCCCAUGCACCCCAGAAUCACGACAACCGCCUCUAAUACAACCCUACCUCACGAAAGCUAAGAAACAAACUGGGAUUAGAUACCCCACUAUGCUUAGCCCUAAACAUAGACAGUAAAAACACAACACUGUUCGCCGGAGAACUACAAACGAAAAGCUUAAAACUCUAAGGACUUGGCGGUGCUUCAAACCAACCUAGAGGAGCCUGUCCUAUAAUCGAUACCCCACGUUUCACCCGACCCCUCCUAGCCAAACAGCCUAUAUACCGCCGUCGUCAGCCUACCUUAUGAAAGAAACAAAGUAGGCACAAAAGUUAGUGACUAAUACGUCAGGUCAAGGUGUAGCACACGGAGGGGCAGAGAUGGGCUACAUUUUCCCAAAGAGAAAACACAAAUGGUGAACUGAAAUACACACCUGAAGGCGGAUUUAGCAGUAAAAUAACUAAGAAUAGUCAUUUUAAACCUGCUCUGAAGCGCGCACACACCGCCCGUCACCCUCAUCACAUG
RNAcentral lists this non-coding RNA (854 nucleotides) under Ctenotus australis. The record is from RNAcentral. Lineage: Eukaryota; Metazoa; Chordata; Lepidosauria; Squamata; Scincidae.